This 67-nucleotide transfer RNA is filed under the name Cabdio morar (aspidoparia). RNAcentral's name for it is "tRNA-Cys". Lineage: Eukaryota; Metazoa; Chordata; Actinopteri; Cypriniformes; Danionidae. The record is from RNAcentral.
GGCCCCGUGGUGAGUUCCAUGUUGGGUUGCAAACCCAAAGACGCAGAUUACCAGUUUGCCCGGGCUU